RNAcentral lists this ribosomal RNA (399 nucleotides) under uncultured bacterium. RNAcentral describes it as "partial 16S ribosomal RNA". It matches the Rfam family "Bacterial small subunit ribosomal RNA", at positions 360 to 776 of the family's 1533-position model. The record is from RNAcentral.
AAUAUUGGACAAUGGGCGAAAGCCUGAUCCAGCAAUGCCGCGUGAGUGAAGAAGGUCUUCGGAUUGUAAAGCUCUUUCACGGGUGAAGAUAAUGACGGUAACCCGAGAAGAAGCCCCGGCUAACUUCGUGCCAGCAGCCGCGGUAAUACGAAGGGGGCUAGCGUUGUUCGGAAUUACUGGGCGUAAAAGGCGCGUAGGCGGUCUAUCAAGUUAGGUGUGAAAGCCCUGGGCUCAACCCAGGAACUGCAUUUAAGACUGGCAGGCUAGAGAUCUAGAGGGGAUAGUGGAAUUCCAAGUGUAGAGGUGAAAUUCGUAGAUAUUUGGAGGAACACCAGUGGCGAAGGCGACUAUCUGGCUAGAAUCCGACGCUGAGGCGCGAUAGCGUGGGGAGCAAACAGG